RNAcentral lists this unclassified non-coding RNA (308 nucleotides) under plant metagenome. RNAcentral's name for it is "partial contains 5.8S ribosomal RNA, internal transcribed spacer 2, and large subunit ribosomal RNA". The stretch from base 1 to 106 matches the Rfam family "5.8S ribosomal RNA", at positions 49 to 154 of the family's 154-position model. The record is from RNAcentral.
CGAAAUGCGAUAAGUAAUGUGAAUUGCAGAAUUCAGUGAAUCAUCGAAUCUUUGAACGCACAUUGCGCCCGCCAGCACUCUGGCGGGCAUGCCUGUUCGAGCGUCAUUUCAACCCUCAGAACCCCUUGCGGGAUCUGGCGUUGGGGAUUGGCAUCCAGCCAGCCCCGAAAUCUAGUGGCGGUCCCUCCGCGACCUCCCCUGUGCAGUAGCGAUACCUCGCAGCGGGACAGCGGUCUGACCACGCCGUAAAACCCCCAACUUCUCAAGGUUGACCUCGAAUCAGGUAGGAAUACCCGCUAAACUUCAGC